This 404-nucleotide transfer-messenger RNA is filed under the name Chlamydiales bacterium. It matches the Rfam family "transfer-messenger RNA". Rfam says of the family: Bacterial tmRNA, also known as 10Sa RNA or SsrA, is named for its dual tRNA and mRNA-like properties. Its role is to liberate the mRNA from a stalled ribosome. To accomplish this part of the tmRNA is used as a reading frame that ends in a translation stop signal. The record is from RNAcentral. Lineage: Bacteria; Pseudomonadati; Chlamydiota; Chlamydiia; Chlamydiales.
GGGGGUGUAAAGGUUUCGACUGUGAAAUAAAGUAAUAAUGGCAUGCGGAGGAAGUCAGUUGGCCUCCUAAAAAAACUGAUAAAACAUUAAGUGCCAAAUCUAAAUCUAAUGUCAUCGCUGGUAACUUCAGUUGCUUCGGUGCAGAUGUGGUAGAAGCUGCGGCUUAAUCGCCUUUAAGCUUCCGAUAGCCCAGGGUUGGACCAAGGGUCUUGGAACUAUCGUUAUUUACUUGGUAUGAAGUUAGCAUCGACUGCUCUUAGGAGCUAAACUUCAAGAUAAAUAGGGCGGCUAAGUUUUUUGGGCGUGUUCUUUAAAGAAAUUUAGCUAAAAAAAGAACACUAUGCAUGUAGAGGUUAUUAUAGAGUUUGCUCAGGACGAGAGUUCGAUUCUCUCCACCUCCAAUU